GCGGCCGCGACCUAGGAAGCUCCUAAAAUGUCGACUUGAAGCUCGCCUUUCUGGAAUGGGAUCUGCGGGAACAGCAGUCGUAUAUUUUCCCUGCUGCUCAUGCCAACCUGAAAGCCUCCCGGGGACACAAGCAUGCGCCAGGGCUUGCCUGACCGUUGGCGCUCCCUCCUCCCAGACCCCAUUCCGAGACCGCUGUGAUGCGUGGCAGCAGCGGGGUGGUGCGGAUGGUGCGGGGCUGCGGCUCAGAGAGCUGGUUCUAUUCCAGGGUCACAGUACUCAUCACAGCAGUGAUCUAGGUGCAGCGAGGCGCGCGGGGACGGUCAUUCACGACAGAACGACAAGGGGACGAACACCUACAGCCCUAGGACCAGAUGACCCCACAAAGAACGCAGCUGGUGGCCACAGGUCCCGCCGACCCUCGAGGCCCCAAAACCUGCGACCUGUUUUAGGGACCGGUACCGGACCUAGAGAGCCAGCACCAGAGAGAGAGAGAAGGCCCAGACGUCAGGACUCGGCCGGUUUGAAUGCCUGAAUUUAAAAUUAGGCGGCUGAAAAUUGGGCGGAUAAACAGUGCUCCGCCGAUUAAGCUGGGAGACAUUGACUUUAUUCGAACCACAUGGUUCCAGUUUUGUGGCAGCAUUCUGGCUGCUCAGCCCGCCGCGCCUGCGGAGUUUGCACUGGAGCAUCAAAUCUGGCCUCAAACGUUCUCCUGCUUAGAGUGAGAGGUGGGCAAAGAGAUCUUUCUCUCAAGACUGUCUUUGGGCCGACAGGUUGCAGAGACCCUGCAGGGGCUUGAGUCUGCAGAGUGGACAGGGCCAGGGCAAUCCACACACUGGAUCUGGGGUUCAGAAAUAGGUGUGAGGUUGUGGGGGGGC
RNAcentral lists this long non-coding RNA (875 nucleotides) under Cricetulus griseus (Chinese hamster). Its description in RNAcentral is "lncRNA (ENSCGRG00015031592.1)". Lineage: Eukaryota; Metazoa; Chordata; Mammalia; Rodentia; Cricetidae. The record is from RNAcentral.